This 465-nucleotide ribosomal RNA is filed under the name Vreelandella stevensii. RNAcentral describes it as "partial 16S ribosomal RNA". It matches the Rfam family "Bacterial small subunit ribosomal RNA", at positions 338 to 795 of the family's 1533-position model. The record is from RNAcentral. Lineage: Bacteria; Pseudomonadati; Pseudomonadota; Gammaproteobacteria; Oceanospirillales; Halomonadaceae.
CCUACGGGGGGCAGCAGUGGGGAAUAUUGGACAAUGGGCGAAAGCCUGAUCCAGCCAUGCCGCGUGUGUGAAGAAGGCCUUCGGGUUGUAAAGCACUUUCAGUGGGGAAGAAAGCCUUGGGGCUAAUACCCUCGAGGAAGGACAUCACCCACAGAAGAAGCACCGGCUAACUCCGUGCCAGCAGCCGCGGUAAUACGGAGGGUGCGAGCGUUAAUCGGAAUUACUGGGCGUAAAGCGCGCGUAGGCGGUCUGAUAAGCCGGUUGUGAAAGCCCCGGGCUCAACCUGGGAACGGCAUCCGGAACUGUCAGGCUGGAGUGCAGGAGAGGAAGGUAGAAUUCCCGGUGUAGCGGUGAAAUGCGUAGAGAUCGGGAGGAAUACCAGUGGCGAAGGCGGCCUUCUGGACUGACACUGACGCUGAGGUGCGAAAGCGUGGGUAGCAAACAGGAUUAGAUACCCGUGUAGUC